Molecule: ribosomal RNA, 498 nt
Filed under: uncultured bacterium
Lineage: Bacteria
Description: bacterial SSU rRNA
Rfam family: Bacterial small subunit ribosomal RNA
Source: RNAcentral
GACGAACGCUGGCGGCGUGCCUAACACAUGCAAGUCGAGCGGGGACAGAGGAGUAGCAAUACGAAUUUGUUCUAGCGGCGGACGGGUGAGUAACGCGUGAGCAACCUGUCCCAAACAGGGGGAUAACGAACCGAAAGGUUCACUAAUACCGCAUAAGACCACGGAGUCACAUGGCUCAGGGGUCAAAGGAGAAAUCCGGUUUGGGGUGGGCUCGCGUCUGAUUAGCUAGUUGGUGGGGUAACGCCCACCAAGGCGACGAUCAGUAGCCGACCUGAGAGGGUGAUCGGCCACAUUGGAACUGAGACACGGUCCAAACUCCUACGGGAGGCAGCAGUGGGGAAUAUUGGGCAAUGGGCGAAAGCCUGACCCAGCAACGCCGCGUGAAGGAAGAAGGUCUUCGGAUCAUAAACUUCUAUCCUUGGUGAAGAUAAUGACGGUAGCCGAGAAGGAAGCCCCGGCUAACUACGUGCCCAGCAGGCCGCGGUAAUCUGUAGUCGU